This 490-nucleotide ribosomal RNA is filed under the name uncultured bacterium. RNAcentral's name for it is "partial 16S ribosomal RNA". It matches the Rfam family "Bacterial small subunit ribosomal RNA", at positions 30 to 507 of the family's 1533-position model. The record is from RNAcentral.
AUUGAACGCUGGCGGCAGGCUUAACACAUGCAAGUCGAACGGUAACAGAACGCCGCUUGCUGCUUUGCUGACGAGUGGCGGACGGGUGAGUUAUGUCUGGGGAACUGUCUGAUGGAGGGGGAUAACUACUGGAAACGGUAUCUAAUACCGCAUAACGUCGCGAGACCAAAGAGGGUGACCUUCGGGCCUCUAUCCAUCGGAUGUGCCCAGAUGGGAUUAGCUAGUAGGUGGGGUAACGGCUCACCUAGGCGACGAUCCCUAGCUGGUCUGAGAGGAUGACCAGCCACACUGGAACUGAGACACGGUCCAGACUCCUACGGGAGGCAGCAGUGGGGAAUAUUGCACAAUGGGCGCAAGACUGAUGCAGCCAUGCCGCGUGUAUGAAGAAGGCCUUCGGGUUGUAAAGUACUUUCAGCGGGGAGGAAGGGAGUAAAGUUAAUACCUUUGCUCAUUGACGUUACCCGCAGAAGAAGCACCGGCUAACUCCGUG